This 277-nucleotide ribosomal RNA is filed under the name uncultured Prevotella sp. Its description in RNAcentral is "partial 16S ribosomal RNA". It matches the Rfam family "Bacterial small subunit ribosomal RNA", at positions 79 to 355 of the family's 1533-position model. The record is from RNAcentral. Lineage: Bacteria; Pseudomonadati; Bacteroidota; Bacteroidia; Bacteroidales; Prevotellaceae.
CUUUCCUUGACGACGACUGGCGCACGGGUGAGUAACGCGUAUCCAACCUUCCCAUGACCACGGGAUAACCCGUUGAAAGACGGCCUAAUACCGUAUGACGUCGUUUGCCGACAUCGAAAGACGACCAAAGGUUUGGCGGUGAUGGAUGGGGAUGCGUCUGAUUAGCUUGUUGGCGGGGUAACGGCCCACCAAGGCGACGAUCAGUAGGGGUUCUGAGAGGAAGGUCCCCCACAUUUGAACUGAGACACGGUCCAAACUCCUACGGGAGGCAGCAGUC